CAGAAUCUUUUCUCAGAAACCAAAAUCAAUGGCUUCCUCGUUAAAUUGCUCCUCGUACAAGAAAUACGAAAUCAGAAAGCGAGACCCAAACCCCAAAACCUCUGCUUUAUUAGUAAUCGACAUGCAAAACAAAUUUUCGUCUUUCGCCAAGCCUAUUCUCAGCAACACGAUCACUACCAUCGACCUCUGCCGACGAGCUUCAAUCCCUGUCUUCUUUACUCGCCAUUGCCACAAGUCCCUCGCCGACAGCGGCAUGCUGGGGGAGUGGUGGGACAACGACAUCAUUUUUGACGGCACCGUUGAUUCCGAGUUAAUCCCCGAGAUCGAACGGCUGGCGGAAGCCGACGAGGUGGUGGAAAAAACGACGUACAGUGCGUUUGAGAAGACGCGCCUGAAGGAGAUGUUGGUGGAGAAAGGGGUGGAGGAGGUUAUAAUUACGGGGGUUAUGACGAACCUGUGCUGCGAAACGACGGCGCGUGAUGCGUUUGGGAAAGGGUUUAGGGUGUUUUUUUCAACGGAUGCUACGGCAACGUUGGAUUUGGAGUUGCAGGAGGCUACUUUGAAGAACAUGGCUUUCGGGUUUGCUUACCUCGUCGACUGCAAGAGGCUUCAGCAGGGGUUUUUCCCUGACUAGAUAAAGUAAUUUUGUUUAAGAAAUUGCAUGUUACUAGUAGUAAUCGGUGUCAAUAUUGCUUGUCUUUUUUUUUUUUUUUUUCUUUUGUUUUUUUAUCUAUCAUCAUCUGUAAAUAUAUGUGUUGAGGUUUUGAAUGAUAAUUAUUUGGCUUGGUUUAUUUUCUCAUUUUUCAUUUUUUAGAUAAUAUUGGCAUUAGAGCGCGUUACUCAUAAUUCAAGAGAAACAUUUUUUUUUUCUUUUUAAAAAUAAUCAUACACACGUAAUUAGUGUUUGGCUCAUUUUAUUACAAGAAAAUUAUCUAUGACAAAAGUAAAACUUAGAUGUUUAACUUUCAAAAUUUUAGUUUAGAUGAAAAAAUUAUUUGAAUUUUUAAAUAAACUUAUAAAUUAAAAUUUUUAAAGAUAUUAAUUAUAAUAAUAAAUAUUUAAUGAAAUUUUUUAAUAUUUUCUUUACUCUUUAAUAAUUCACAAAAUUAUUACGAGGAUUAUAUUAUUUCAAAUUACUUUGUUUUUUUUAUUGAAUUCAUUUGUUUUUUAUUAUAAUAAAUAAAAAUAUCUUCUUUUAUUUAUUUUUAUCUAAAAUUUUGAGAUUUAAUUCAAUAAAGUUAGUUAUUUUUUAUUUUUAUUUAUUAAAAACAUAUAAAAAUACUACCAAAUGGUUUUUUCAACAUUAUACAACACAUCUUUAUUGAAUUUGUCAAAUACUACUUUAGAUUCUCUUUUUAACACAGCUUUAUUCCAACAUCCGUUUUUGUAGAAGUUUUAAACCAAACAAUUAUAUUUAGAAUUCAAUUAAAAUUUUGGUAUUUAUUAUAAAAUACUUAAGUUUUAUAUUAAUUUAAUUAAUUUUUUGUUAUAUUAUUUAAUAAUUUAUUUAAUUAUAAUAUUAUUUAAAUAUUAUUAAACUUGAAUAUAAUUAAAUAACAAUAUUACAAUCUAAUAUAAUACUAUUUGAACCUAGAAGUCACCGUGUGUUAAUUUCAUAAAUAAAUUAUUCUCUCAACUUUUGAAAAUUUUUUUUGUUAAUUGAUUGUACAAUUUAAUAAAUUGAUUUGACAUUUCAACUUAAAAAUUAAAACUUGCAUUUCAAAGUGCUCUUUCAAUAAUUAUCGAUUUUUUUGUCUCAUUAUCACAAUUAUCUCGUUCACGAAGAGGAAGUGAAAAUUUUAAUUUAUUAAUCCCUAAAAUGAUGAAAUCUUUUGCUUUUCUAUAUCCAACCAUUUUUUUGUCAAUUUAUUAUCAAUUUUGUAAUUAACCUUUCAAAAGAAUGUCCAAAUCACAAAGCAUUCAAUUCUGACAAUUAUCGGUUUCUUUACCCUAUUAUCACAAUUAAUCUGUUCAUGACAGUGAAAAGUUUAAUUUAUUAAACCUAAAAAUAAUAAAAUCUCUUUCUCUUCCAUAUUUAAUAAUUUUCCUAUCAAUCUAUUAUCCAUUUAAUGAUUAAUGUUGUUGAUAUUCCAAAAGCUUUUGUAAAGAAACCUUAAAAUAUAUUACCCAUUUUUAAUCCUUCAAUUCCCAUCCAAAAUUUGCUUCUUUUAAAAAACACUCACUGAUUUGUAAUUUUUUUAUCAUUUGAUUUAAACUCUUAUGAUUUGUUAAUGAAUAUACUUACUAAUUUACGAUUUCCUUUUACAAAACUCAUCAAUUUAAAAACCUAACUUAUAAAUUCGAAAGGCAUUGAAAGAAUGUGAUCAUGGAUUUGUUGCUUUGUGCUACAAAAUUCUUAAUCCAUUUCAAUUCUUUUUUUUGGUAAAAAAUUUCAAAAUAACAUUGUUUAUUUUAAAUUUAUAAUUGUUUAGAAAAAAAAAAAAGAAUAAAUUCACUAACAAUCAAAUAUUAAUGUAGGUUUAUGGACAAUCCCAUAUAUGACUGGUAAGUUUAUAAUAUGAUAACUCAUUUUUUACUUGCAUUCUUGAUAAAAUUUAUAGAAUCUCUGUAAUCACAAUGCAUUUAGCCACAAUUUGCCUAAGAAAAUAGAUAAAAUAUUAUGACUCUAUGUUAAUUUUUUUAGUAGAAGUUAAAGUUUUAGAUUAAAACUUUGAAACAAAGUUAUUUUUUUUAAUUUUUUACGACAGAUUUUUACAUUUAUUUUUAGAUGUAUGUCAUUACAAUAAAUAUGGUUUCUGUGUUUUUAAUUGUUUUUGUUGUUAAACUGCAACAACAUGCGAGAAAUUACAUAGUUAAAUACUAUUAUUAAAUAAUACUAUAUUAAAUACUAGUUUUUUAAUGUUAUAUAUAUAAUGUCACUUAAAAUUUGAAUUUUAUUUAAUAAAUGCUAUUAUUUUUAUUUAAUUCUUUAAUUUAAUUUUAUUUAUUAAAAUAUUAUAUUUACUACAAUUUAGAUAUAUUUUUUAAAAAUAUAAUAACAUUACUUACCAAACAUAUUUUAUAAAUUAAAAAAUUUUAAAACAAAACAAAAACAAACUUUUGAAAUAAAAAAUUUUAAUAAUUUUAAAAAAUAAAUUAAAAUUUAGUAACUUAGUCUAAAAUUGCCCAAAGUUCGGUAACCAAUUGUGUAAUUUACUCCCCCGCAGGACCCCACUCCAUUUACUUUCUUCCUUCUGUCCCACAGACUAGACAUCUGGUUGCCGUCCUUAUCAUCCAACUUUAUUUUUUGGUUGGAUAUAAUUAUUUCUUAUGAGAAAGAAUAAGGAUAAGAAAACCCUCUUUCAAAAUCUUUUUCUGAGAAACCGAAAUCAAUGGCUUCCUCGUUAACUUACUCCUCAUACAAGAAAUACGAAAUCAGAAAGCGAGACCCAAACCCUAAAACCUCUGCUUUAUUAGUAAUCGACAUGCAAAAUCAAUUUUCGUCUAUCGCCAAGCCUAUACUCAGCAACGUCAUCACUACCAUCGACCUCUGCCGACGGGUUUCAAUCCCUGUUUUCUUCACUCGCCACUGCCACAAGUCCCCCGCCGACUACGCAUGGUGGCGGUGUAGUGGGACAACGACCUCAUCUUUGACGGCACCGCUGAUUCCGAGUUAAUACCCGAGAUCGGACUGUUAGAAAUAUAGUUAAAACAAGAGAAAUAAUAAAAAAAAAAUUUGAUUUUGAGGCAUGAGAAAUAUUAUUUUAAAAGUAAUUAUUUUUUUAAAAUAUAAUAAAUUUUUUAAUUUUUUAAUUAGAAGUAAUAAAAAUAAUUAUAUUGAAAUAUUCAUUUAUAAUAAAUAAAUAGAUAUAAAUUUUUAUUCAGAUAGUUAUAAUUUUUUGUAUUAUUAUAAUUUUUUAAUUAUAUUUUAUUAAUAUUCAAUUAAUUAUGAUAAUUUGUCAUAUGAUAAUUAUUUUUAUUCAAAUAUAAUUAUUUAAAAUAUGAAUAAAAUUAAUACAAAAAUUAAUUUUACUUAUCAAUAAUUAAAUUUUUCUAUUUAAUGUAAGAUGCAUCACAUUUUAAACUAGUAACAAUCUUUCACUAAUUUAAAAUAUUAGUGCUUAAUAUUUAACCUUUCACACGAAUAAAUAUUAUGAAUAUAAGAAGAUAUAUUUUCGAUUUAAACAUUCAAUUAGUGUAUAUAUUUUAGAAUUUUAAUUAAAUUGAUGGUAUCCAUAGAUUAAACCCAACUUUUAAUAUUAUAAUUGAAUAUAUAACACAUAUAAUAUUUAUUUAUUUUUCUAUAAGAGAUUUAUAAUUGCUUUUAGUGUUAUUAUGAUCAUGUGUUUAUUAUAUUCAUAAUUUAUAAGAGAGACUCCAAUCUUUUUUGUUGAAGAGUCAUUACUUCUAUAUUUGCAUAAGUAAAGUUUUAUUAUGUUUCUAUUGUUUUAGAUAUUUAAAACUCUAUUAAAAAUAUAAAACCCAUCUACCUUACGAAAUAGAUCACACUAAUUUUUAAAAUUUAAAUAAAUUUUAUUAGUACUUAAUAAACACAUAAAAAUAACUUAUUUUAUUAAUUAAACUUAGUAUUUAAAGGUUAAUAAUUCAAAAUUGAGUUUUUAUUAUUAAUGUCUAAUAAUAAGAGUUUAAAUUCAUUCUACUUGUGGUACUACUAACCAAUAUCUUGGAAUUUAAUUUUUUUUUAACUAAUCAAUUGGUUCUUAGUGUCUAAAAUUAAUAAUUGAAUUGAUUAAAAUAACUAAUAUUUUUAAAUAAAAUUUUAAAUAUAUUAUAUAUAAUAAAAUAAAUAUUUAUAUUUUUAAAAAUAACAAAAUAUGACUUUGGGGCAAAAUUUUUGGGUGAGUUCUAUUAGGCGAAACUUAUUGCAAAAUUGGUGGUUAAAAAAUGGUGUUUUUGAUACCAAUUGAUCUAUAUCGGUUCAUUAUUUUUUUAUUAUUAGGAAUAGAUUAUUAGUUUCAAUUAUUUUUUAAUUUAAAAAAUAUAUCGAAUCGACAAACUGCUCAUCUUAUAUAUAUGUACACCUCUAAUCAAGAUUACAAUUGUUUCAUUUUUUUUUUCAUUUUCAUAAUUGUUAGAUCAAAUCUUUUAGGUUUUUUUUUUUUUCCAGGCCAAAUCAAAAUUUUUAGGUUAAAGUAGCGCUUACUAUCAAUCAACAAAAAGAAUUAUUGAAAUUUUAAAUCUAUUUAAAAAACAUAUAUUUUUAAAUGGAUAAAAAGUUCAAAAUUCAAUUUUAGCGUGGGGCGGCGUUAUUAUUAAUAUGAAAGAAAAAGAAUUUUUAUUUGCAUUCAUUUUUUAUACAUUUUAAAAAUAAUUUUUAAAUAAAAUUAUUUAAUUUCCUUAUUUUAAAUUACUUUCCACUUUUGAAUUUUUGGAUUUACAAAGUCAGAAAACUUUUAAAAAUUUCUGUCUCGUAUCAUUUAAAUCACAAAAGAAUCUACAGAUCCACAUGCAUAGUUUUUGUUGAUCAAUUUAUAAAUAAGCUAAUAAUUAUUGUAAUCAAAUUUUGCUUUUUCUUUAUAAUAUUGUGAAAAUUUUUAUGAAAUUUUCCCUUUAACUAAUUUUUUCUCAAAACCCUAAAUGUAACUUAUCAAAUGAAAAAAUUUAAUAAAUUAUAUAAAUUAUUAAAUAUUCAUAUUCGAUAAAUUUUAUAACUUAUUGAAUAGUUAUAAAUUUUACUGAAUAUGUAUAUAUAAAGACUUUAAAAUUGAUAUGAAAAAGGAUAAUUAAAUAAUUCAAUUAAAGAUAAUUUUAAAAGGUGGAGUUUUCAUUUGAUUCUUUAUUAUUAUAUAAAUUUUUUAUAUUAUUAGUAAAUUAAUCAUAUCACUUUAUUAAUGAAGUGAAUAUUAAUUAUUAAAAUAAAUAUAUAAAAAAUUAAUUUUUUAUAAAAAUUUUACUCAUUAAUAAAGUAAAAUUAUUUAAUUUAUCUUAUUAAUAAGAUGUAUCAAUUAAUUUAUUGAUAAUAUAUAAAAUUUAUAUAUUAAUAAUAUAUUAAAUAUAAAAAAAUAAAUGUAAAAAAAAAAUGGCAAACAGAAGCAUCUUUAAGAAAAAAAAAGGGAUAGCAAUAAAAACAGUGUAAAUUUUGAUAAAAUUGUAAUAAUUCAUUUUAAACUUUGACUUUUCCAAUUUCCAUAUAUUCGCUAGUGUACAACGAACAUGCUUGCAAUCAAACCUUAGAAAAAAAAAAUUAGAGUAUUGUUACUUACAUUAAUUUCCCAAGAGAAAAAUAGUAAAAUAAAGAAAAGGGCCCCUGGAUCAAGUGAAAAUUACAAGCUGCCACAAAAUAAUUGAACAAGUUUUGAAAGGACAUAGCAGUCGAUAUCUUCGAAUAUGAACGGCCCAGAAGCCAGCCAAUACCGUCCAUAACUCUGCUCCAUUUGCUUCUUCUGUUACACAGAUGUAGACAUCUGAUUGGCCUCUCCUUAGCAUCCAACUUUUUUUCUUUUGGAUAUAUAUAGUUGUUUCCUCUGAAAAGAUAAAGUGAAGAAACCCCAUUUCAAAAUCUUUCUCGGAAACCAAAAUCAAUGGAUUCCUCGUUAAAUUGCUCCUCAUACAAGAAAUACGAAAUCAGAAAGCGAGAACCAAACCCCAAAACCUCUGCUUUAUUAGUAAUCGACAUGCAAAACAAAUUUUCGUCUUACGCCAACCCUAUUCUCAGCAACACGAUUACUACCAUCGACCUCUGCCGACGAGCUUCAAUCCCUGUCUUCUUCGCUCGCCUCUGCCUCAAGUCCCCCGCCGACAGCGGCAUGCUGGGGGAGUGGUGGGACAACGACAUCGUCUUGGACGGCACCGUUGAUUCCG
RNAcentral lists this long non-coding RNA (6762 nucleotides) under Durio zibethinus. Its description in RNAcentral is "long non-coding RNA (DZIB_LNC000737)". The record is from RNAcentral. Lineage: Eukaryota; Viridiplantae; Streptophyta; Magnoliopsida; Malvales; Malvaceae.